GGGAAAUCUUACCGGGUCCGGACGUGCUGAGGAUUGACAGGUUUUGCGUCAUUUCACUUUGGUUUCUUUCACGAGAGGCUUUAGUGGGUGGCACUUAAAGAUGCUAGUCCUUUCAUGAUUGUGCGAUAGGUGGUGCAUGGCCGUUCUUAGUUCGUGGAGUGAUCUGUCUGCUUAAUUGCGUUUCGCAAAAGGUCAUCACUAACGCUUUCUGAGCACCUAACGUUCAGCGUUCACCUCUUUCGCUGCCGUUUGUUUGGUCAUUUUACUGUUGCCUUUGCCUUCUCUACGCUCUGCUGUGGCACAGCCUGGCGCCUUGGCCACUCCUCUAUCUUUUCCCUCUCUCUCCGGAGGGGGGGAGCUGAUGGAGCUUGAGAGGUUUUGGUGUUGGGCGCACCGCGCAGGGUUGAAGGUCUCAAGGGUGAUGGGAGAUCUCUUUCGGUGGUUGAGGUUUGAAUGCCGUUGGGUUACUUUUCAAGUCUCAGUAUAGCGUGUUGACCUUGAAAGCAACGA
Molecule: ribosomal RNA, 510 nt
Filed under: Crithionina delacai
Lineage: Eukaryota; Foraminifera
Description: bacterial SSU rRNA
Rfam family: Eukaryotic small subunit ribosomal RNA
Source: RNAcentral